Long non-coding RNA from Lolium rigidum, 1328 nucleotides. RefSeq lists it as uncharacterized. The transcript is spliced from 2 exons. Lineage: Eukaryota; Viridiplantae; Streptophyta; Magnoliopsida; Poales; Poaceae. The record is from RefSeq and is a predicted model, not a curated record.
UCGCCGCGUCUUUUUUGUGUGGAAGUUCACAUUUUCACGCGGCUCAGCCCUUGCGCUUAACCUCUUCGACGCGGGGUCAGAACUUCACCGGUGUUGUGGCAUCGAGGCGACCGACGGACAUGGACAGGGAGUUCACAUUAUUCAUUCAUGUAAUUUCGAUUUUUCUUUUACGGAAGCGCGUCAAUGAGUCCAGUAGUGUCCAUGUCCACAAGUUCUUUUCUUACAGAUUGCGUGUAUUUUUUUUUAGGAGUUCUGUUGAAAAAAUAUAUAGAAUGGAAAACGUGCGACAUAUGAUUAUUUACCCAAGUCCACUUAAAAAAACUUUUGAAUUUGAUGUGUAAAACAAUUAAAGUUCACUUUUCGUUUUGUAGAGUUUGAUGUGUUAAACCAAAGUAGGAGUUCACUAUAUUCAGUUUCUGAAGUUCCUUUUAGUUCUGAACUUUUAUCUGAUGUCGUCAGUUAACUGUAUAGAGUGUUUCAGUUCCGUACCAGGUCUUACAUUUUGUUUUCAGUUAGUGGCAUGUUUAGGAACUAGGUUGUGUUGUCUGCCAAGACAGUACUAGCAGUAUUAUGAUCUUACGUGUGGGGAUGUUGGAUGCUAGUACUGUAGGUAGUUGAUUUGCAUGCUCUACAGGGUGCGAGUUAUAUAUCCUCUGCAGCGCGUCGUCUGGUUAACCACCAGAGCAACCCAGUACACCUCAACCACCUCCACUUAAGCUCAGGAUUUCCCCUGAGCACCAACCGAACUCCACCACCACGGCGUCGACAGGAAGCAUCUGCACGAAAUCCUGGCGGCUUGUCCGUCCAUGGCACUCUUGUGAACUCCUACACGUUCUCCUCCCGAAGUUCAUUCGAGGAUAUUUUUUCUGGUACUUGAGAAGCCCACUCACAUCGUCCUAGCAUCACAUGCAUAUACAACAAGGACUCCCUGAUCACGGCCAACCCGAUGAGGCAAUGCUGCAGAGGACGAGGAAUAAACGUGGUGCUAGCCCUACGCUACUUCUUGGAGGUGGAUGCGGCUUGGCGGUCGCUCCCUGUCCAUGGCGUCUUCAAGCCCAAAUGUCGCGCCGCGGGGGCGUCUGUUGCAGGAACAUUCCCAGGACGGGCACGGCGCAGGCUGAGUGAAGCUUACUGAUACUAAUUUGUGGAGUUAACUUCUCUAUUCGUGAAUUUUGUGUGUCCUGAUACUUCAAUUUAGACUAUUCCCACAAGAUGGAUUUUUAUUUGAGUCUACUAGAUGGAUUGGUCGUGAAGUUCGCUUCUGAUAUUUGCGUUGACGGGUGGAUGACUUUUGUAUAUUAAUUAUGUGUGAAGUUCACUGUUAUGCA